GCCCCAGUAGACUAGCGGUUAAGUCAGGAGACUUCAAAUCUCCCAUCACCCUGCAACCAGUAGGGAGUCGCGGGUUCGAAUCCCGUCUGGGGCUUA
Molecule: transfer RNA, 96 nt
Filed under: Caudoviricetes sp.
Lineage: Duplodnaviria; Heunggongvirae; Uroviricota; Caudoviricetes
Description: tRNA-OTHER
Rfam family: tRNA
About the family: Transfer RNA (tRNA) molecules are approximately 80 nucleotides in length.
Source: RNAcentral